GUGCCAGCCGCCGCGGUAAUACCGGCAGCCCGAGUGAUGGCCGAUCUUAUUGGGCCUAAAGCGUCCGUAGCUGGCUGCGCAAGUCCGUCGGGAAAUCCGCCCGCUCAACGGGCGGCCGUCCGGCGGAACCUGUGUGGCUUGGGACCGGGAGGCCUGAGGGGUACGAUCGGGGUAGGAGUGAAAUCCUGUAAUCCCGGACGGACUACCGAUGGCGAAAGCACUCUGAGAAGACGGCUUCGACAGUGGGGGACGAAAGCUCGGGUCUCAAACCGGAUUAGAUACCCGAGUAGUCC
RNAcentral lists this ribosomal RNA (293 nucleotides) under uncultured bacterium. RNAcentral describes it as "partial 16S ribosomal RNA". It matches the Rfam family "Archaeal small subunit ribosomal RNA", at positions 455 to 747 of the family's 1478-position model. The record is from RNAcentral.